CAGCCGCCGCGGUAAUACCGGCGGCCCGAGUGGCGGCCACUAUUAUUGGGCCUAAAGCGUCCGUAGCCGGGCUGGUAAGUCCCCCGGGAAAUCUGGCGGCUUAACCGUCAGAAUUCCGGGGGAUACUGCCAGCCUAGGGACCGGGAGAGGCCGAGGGGAUUCCCGGAGUAGGGGUGAAAUCCUAUAAUCCCGGGAGGACCACCUGUGGCGAAGGCGCUCGGCUGGAACGGGUCCGACGGUGAGGGACGAAGGCCAGGGGAGCAAACCGGAUUAGAUACCCGGGUAGUCCUGGCUGUAAACGAUGCGGACUUUGUGUCGGACAAGCUAUGAGCUUGUCCGGUGCCGGAGGGAAACCGUUAAGUCCGCCGCCUGGGGAGUACGGCCGCAAGGCUGAAACUUAAAGGAAUUGGCGGG
RNAcentral lists this ribosomal RNA (414 nucleotides) under uncultured microorganism. RNAcentral's name for it is "bacterial SSU rRNA". It matches the Rfam family "Archaeal small subunit ribosomal RNA", at positions 459 to 872 of the family's 1478-position model. The record is from RNAcentral.